Molecule: RNA transcript, 2203 nt
Organism: Panicum virgatum (switchgrass)
Lineage: Eukaryota; Viridiplantae; Streptophyta; Magnoliopsida; Poales; Poaceae
Exons: 12
Source: RefSeq, a predicted model, not a curated record
CGAUAGCCACGACCGCACCCCCGCAUCGGCCUGCGGGUCGAUCUGACGAUCUCGUGACCAUCGCUCACGGAGUCGCCUCCUCUCCUUCACCAGUGGACGCGCCGUCGUUCCCGUCCUCUACCGAAGCCACGGAGCGCGCAAUUGACCUCUCCAAUCCACGGGUACUGGAUGUCUAGAUCAGUGAGGAGUCGGAUCUCUUUAUUUGUGCCUUGUUGGUAAAGGUACCGGAUGGCUGACACCGAGGAUCGUGAACCUACUUUCGUUCCCCAAUCCUUAUCGAACGCUGUGGAUGCAAGCCCUAAGAGACGAGAGAUGCCAGUGGAAUCGACCAUUCAGAGCAGCGAAGACUACCUAUGUGGACAAGUUCCAAAUAACACUAGAUACAAUCUUCGUGGUCGAGAUGUUGAUUUAGCAACACAGUUGAGGAGGGAAGAACACAAGAUGGACAGAGAGAAAUGCUUUGAAACGAAGCGCUUAAGGAAAGAACAGAAAAUGCGAGAAGAUAGAGAAUGUGUGGACAAGGCCCUCAGGGCAAGAGCAGUUCUUGAUGCACAAUACAAAGCAUGGAAGGAAGAACAGAGGAAGCUAAGGCUCUCCAAACAAGGUGGUGACAACAAUGACGGUGACUUCAGCGGUAACAAAGGCGAGAAGGGAAGCGUUUAUACACGUUAGUGUUUUGCCUCUCUUCACCUUUUUCUUGCCUUCAUUACUUACUCUGUGCAUCAACUUGCUGCAGGGGAGAUCAUUAAUAAACCUCCAGAAGGUUCUGGAGACUGGCUACCAUAUGAAUCGGAUGAUGAGUUUGGGACAGAAUUUGAGCUGAAGCACACAAGCUGGGAAGUUGAGAAGUUCACUUUAGAGCUUGCUCGAUGUAUGGUUGGGCUUGAGUCUUUUACUGACACAAAGAUUUUCUCUUGCUCUGGCACAAUAGUUGAAUAUGUGGACGAUACUGGUUAUGUAGUAACAUCUGCAAGCUUAGUAAGAUGUCCAGACAGAGAUGAGCAAAUUGAUAAACCGAAGAUCAAUGUAUGGUUAGCAAGUGGUCAAAAACUUGAAGGUUUUGUGUCAAAUGUGGACUUCUAUUACAAUAUCUGUGUGAUCAAGGUCCCUUGCACUGUUCACCUGCCAAGCAAAAGCUUCUGUCCAAACACUGGGUUCUUUAACUUUUAUGAAAACCAUACAAGAGAUGUUGUAGCUCUAGGCCGUAGUUGUGAGCCUUGCAGCUUAAAGGUUGCUUCAGGAAAGCUUAUUCCAAGGAGAAGCAGGUUUGAUUGUGAAGAGCUAUUGGUUUCUUCUUGCAAAAUUUCAAAGAGAGGUGUUGGCGGUCCUUUGAUGGAUUUUGAUGGAAAUGUAAUUGGAAUGAAUUUCUAUGACAAGAAAGAAACUCCUUUUCUUCCAAGUUUCAUUGUAUUGAAGUGUUUGCAGCACUUCGAUAUCUUUGGGGGAAAUGUGUCUUACGUUCUUCUCCUCCUUUGAGGAUAGUGCCACAUACUCUUUCCACCAGUGAUGAAUAAAAUGAUCCAUCUGAUGAUGCAGGAAGGUGAUACGACCAUUGCAUGGGCUGCGAGUUAAAACUCUUUAUGAAGCAAACCUCAGUCUACUUGAAAAAAAGUUACAGAGUGGAAUCCCUGAAAGAUGCGGUGUGAUUGUGGUGAAGGUACAAGAACCUUCUGCAGAACUUUCUGAGAUAAAGGUCGGGGACAUAAUCACUCAUGUUGAUGGUGUACCGUUCUCCAAUGCUGCAGAGCUUGGUGGCAUCCUUCUGGAUAUGUGCGGUAAGCUUUGGCUGGACAGGCAGAAAAUGAACCCUUCAGAUGUUUUCAACCAGACGGCAGCACUGAUGAGCCUUAAGUUUCGUGUGAGAACAUAUAGAGAUGCUAAAUCUGAAGUUAUAACUCAAAUCAUCAACGUCAACAAGUUUACUCCCAGCAGACUUAACAAGUGGCCACUUCCCAGGCCAAUUAUUGUCCGGCAAUACGAACAUGGUAAAGUUAUCAGCGAAGAGUGGUACAUGACUGGUGUUUGAAGUCAGCACUGUCUUGUUCUGAAGCAUCACCAGGGAGUCUAUAUAUAAGCUAAAUGGCCAUCUGAACUAAUAUAAGCUUAGUAGUAAUGAUGCCUGAAUGUUGUACUUGUCUUUCUCAGCAUGCUAGUAUUCAGGGAAGCCGUCGGGGUCGCACUCUCACGGAAUUGUUGCCUCUAA